RNAcentral lists this ribosomal RNA (996 nucleotides) under Staphylococcus aureus. RNAcentral's name for it is "partial 23S ribosomal RNA". It matches the Rfam family "Bacterial large subunit ribosomal RNA", at positions 426 to 1430 of the family's 2925-position model. The record is from RNAcentral. Lineage: Bacteria; Bacillati; Bacillota; Bacilli; Caryophanales; Staphylococcaceae.
GUGAAAUUCCGUCGGAAUCUGGGAGGACCAUCUCCUAAGGCUAAAUACUCUCUAGUGACCGAUAGUGAACCAGUACCGUGAGGGAAAGGUGAAAAGCACCCCGGAAGGGGAGUGAAAUAGAACCUGAAACCGUGUGCUUACAAGUAGUCAGAGCCCGUUAAUGGGUGAUGGCGUGCCUUUUGUAGAAUGAACCGGCGAGUUACGAUUUGAUGCAAGGUUAAGCAGUAAAUGUGGAGCCGUAGCGAAAGCGAGUCUGAAUAGGGCGUUUAGUAUUUGGUCGUAGACCCGAAACCAGGUGAUCUACCCUUGGUCAGGUUGAAGUUCAGGUAACACUGAAUGGAGGACCGAACCGACUUACGUUGAAAAGUGAGCGGAUGAACUGAGGGUAGCGGAGAAAUUCCAAUCGAACCUGGAGAUAGCUGGUUCUCUCCGAAAUAGCUUUAGGGCUAGCCUCAAGUGAUGAUUAUUGGAGGUAGAGCACUGUUUGGACGAGGGGCCCCUCUCGGGUUACCGAAUUCAGACAAACUCCGAAUGCCAAUUAAUUUAACUUGGGAGUCAGAACAUGGGUGAUAAGGUCCAUGUUCGAAAGGGAAACAGCCCAGACCACCAGCUAAGGUCCCAAAAUAUAUGUUAAGUGGAAAAGGAUGUGGCGUUGCCCAGACAACUAGGAUGUUGGCUUAGAAGCAGCCAUCAUUUAAAGAGUGCGUAAUAGCUCACUAGUCGAGUGACACUGCGCCGAAAAUGUACCGGGGCUAAACAUAUUACCGAAGCUGUGGAUUGUCCUUUGGACAAUGGUAGGAGAGCGUUCUAAGGGCGUUGAAGCAUGAUCGUAAGGACAUGUGGAGCGCUUAGAAGUGAGAAUGCCGGUGUGAGUAGCGAAAGACGGGUGAGAAUCCCGUCCACCGAUUGACUAAGGUUUCCAGAGGAAGGCUCGUCCGCUCUGGGUUAGUCGGGUCCUAAGCUGAGGCCGACAGGCGUAGGCGAUGGAUAACAGGU